Long non-coding RNA from Sander lucioperca (pikeperch), 352 nucleotides. RefSeq lists it as uncharacterized. NCBI's taxonomy places the organism in Eukaryota, Metazoa, Chordata, Actinopteri, Perciformes, Percidae. The record is from RefSeq and is a predicted model, not a curated record. The transcript is spliced from 3 exons.
UCACGAUUUGCGUUACAAAUAAAUACCAGCAAAGAACUACGGCGGGCGAAGACAGAAACACAUUGAAGAGAUCGCUCUAUCUGGCACCCCGCCCGCUGGAUCUUCACACAGGGAAAAACAAGCGCACCUCUUCAACUGACGUAACCCCCAGUCACCCCACAUCGUCGUCUCUCGCUCUCGAUGAGUCGGAACAGCAGCAACUAAUUUUCUUAAAAAACACAUCUGGUUCCUGGGGCAGGGAAGCGAGAUGGAUGAUCAUGUUCAAAAUAAACUGGUAGAAUGGGACCUGGGUGAUUUACUCUCUACAUUUGAAGACAGGCACAUCGCUUUGCUUCUGCUACCUGUGGUGACC